This 253-nucleotide ribosomal RNA is filed under the name uncultured bacterium. RNAcentral's name for it is "partial 16S ribosomal RNA". It matches the Rfam family "Bacterial small subunit ribosomal RNA", at positions 524 to 776 of the family's 1533-position model. The record is from RNAcentral.
UACAGAGGUCUCAAGCGUUGUUCGGAUUCAUUGGGCGUAAAGGGUGUGUAGGUGGCGCGCUAAGUCGGGUGUGAAAUUUCGGAGCUUAACUCCGAGCUUGCAGUCGAUACGGGCAGGCUAGAGUUCGGUAGGGGAGACUGGAAUUCCUGGUGUAGCGGUGAAAUGCGCAGAUAUCAGGAGGAACACCGGUGGCGAAGGCGGGUCUCUGGGCCGAUACUGACGCUGAGGAGCGAAAGCGUGGGGAGCGAACAGG